GCCUUUAUUGGAGGCUGGAAUGAAAGAUGUGACGAGAAGAUAACUGUCUUGGUUUACUUUAAAUAAAUUGACUUAGGAGUAAAAAGGCUUCUAUGUGUUUAAGGGACGAUAAGACCCUAUAAAGCUUUAUUUAUGGUUACCGGUCUGUUUUAAGGAAAGAGCAGUAUAUGUAAAUUUUGCUGGGGCGGCAAGUGACUAAACUUCACUGAUUAUAACACUUUGCGUGAAUACAAUCUAGCGUUGCGUCAAACAUUCAAAACAAGUUACUUUAGGGAUAACAGCACAAUUUUCUUAUAGAGUCCUUAUCGACAGGAAAGAUUGUGACCUCGAUGUUGAAUUGAGUUUCUCCCACUAAGCAGCCAUAGUGGAUAGAAGUCUGUUCGACUUUUAAUUACUCACAUGAUCUGAGUUCAAACCGGA
RNAcentral lists this ribosomal RNA (420 nucleotides) under Tylos ponticus. Its description in RNAcentral is "partial 16S ribosomal RNA". It matches the Rfam family "Bacterial large subunit ribosomal RNA", at positions 1971 to 2620 of the family's 2925-position model. Lineage: Eukaryota; Metazoa; Arthropoda; Malacostraca; Isopoda; Tylidae. The record is from RNAcentral.